RNAcentral lists this long non-coding RNA (392 nucleotides) under Ananas comosus (pineapple). RNAcentral describes it as "long non-coding RNA (ACOM_LNC008238)". The record is from RNAcentral. Lineage: Eukaryota; Viridiplantae; Streptophyta; Magnoliopsida; Poales; Bromeliaceae.
AGUUAAAAAACAAAAAAAAAAGAAAAAACUUCAAAUACCCGCCAUGAGGUUUCGCACAUUUUCACUUUAGUAACUUAUAGUUUAAAGUGUAUCAAGUUAAUACCUUAUGGUUUCGCACUUUCUCACUUUAGUAUCCUGUGGUUUAAUAUUUCGUUAAAUUAUAUAUCCCGAAAUAGAUAAUAAAAAGAGAAAAUUGAAACAAUAUGGUACUAAUUUGAUAUAAAAAUAAAAUCAUAAUGUACUAACUUGAUACAUUUUAAACUACGGAAUACUAAAGUGAGAAAGUGCGAAACUAUAAGGUACCAUAAACUUUAAACUGUAGGGUACUAAAGUGAGAAAGUGCGAAAUCCGGAGGGUAUUUAAAUUUUCCCAAAAAAAACAAAAGAGAAAAA